Molecule: ribosomal RNA, 253 nt
Filed under: uncultured bacterium
Lineage: Bacteria
Description: partial 16S ribosomal RNA
Rfam family: Bacterial small subunit ribosomal RNA
Source: RNAcentral
UACAGAGACUGCGAGCGUUAUUCGGAUUCACUGGGCGUAAAGGGUGCGCAGGCGGCCAAGUGUGUUAGGCGUGAAAGCCCGGGGCUUAACCUCGGAAUUGCACCUAAAACUACUUGGCUAGAGCAUUGGAGAGGGUAGCGGAAUUCACGGUGUAGCAGUGAAAUGCGUAGAUAUCGUGAGGAACACCAGAGGCGAAGGCGGCUACCUGGACAAUUGCUGACGCUCAGGCACGAAAGCGUGGGGAGCAAAAGGG